Molecule: ribosomal RNA, 449 nt
Filed under: uncultured bacterium
Lineage: Bacteria
Description: partial 16S ribosomal RNA
Rfam family: Bacterial small subunit ribosomal RNA
Source: RNAcentral
AACGAACGCUGGCGGCAUGCCUAACACAUGCAAGUCGAACGAAGGCUUCGGCCUUAGUGGCGCACGGGUGCGUAACGCGUGGGAAUCUGCCCCUCGGUUCGGAAUAACAGUUAGAAAUGACUGCUAAUACCGGAUGAUGACUUCGGUCCAAAGAUUUAUCGCCGGGGGAUGAGCCCGCGUAAGAUUAGGUAGUUGGUGGGGUAAAGGCCUACCAAGCCGACGGUCUUUAGCUGGUCUGAGAGGAUGAUCAGCCACACUGGGACUGAGACACGGCCCAGACUCCUACGGGAGGCAGCAGUGGGGAUUAUUGGACAAUGGGCGAAAGCCUGAUCCAGCAAUGCCGCGUGAGUGAUGAAGGCCUUAGGGUUGUAAAGCUCUUUUACCAGGGAUGAUAAUGACAGUACCUGGAGAAUAAGCUCCGGCUAACUCCGUGCCAGCCGCCGCCGUAA